This 504-nucleotide ribosomal RNA is filed under the name uncultured bacterium. RNAcentral describes it as "partial 16S ribosomal RNA". It matches the Rfam family "Bacterial small subunit ribosomal RNA", at positions 30 to 523 of the family's 1533-position model. The record is from RNAcentral.
AUUGAACGCUGGCGGCAGGCCUAACACAUGCAAGUCGAACGGUAGCACAGAGAGCUUGCUCUCGGGUGACGAGUGGCGGACGGGUGAGUAACGUCUGGGAAACUGCCCGAUGGAGGGGGAUAACUACUGGAAACGGUAGCUAAUACCGCAUAACGUCGCAAGACCAAAGUGGGGGACCUUCGGGCCUCACACCAUCGGAUGUGCCCAGAUGGGAUUAGCUAGUAGGUGGGGUAAUGGCUCACCUAGGCGACGAUCCCUAGCUGGUCUGAGAGGAUGACCAGCCACACUGGAACUGAGACACGGUCCAGACUCCUACGGGAGGCAGCAGUGGGGAAUAUUGCACAAUGGGCGCAAGCCUGAUGCAGCCAUGCCGCGUGUAUGAAGAAGGCCUUCGGGUUGUAAAGUACUUUCAGCGGGGAGGAAGGCGGUGGAGUUAAUAACUUCACCGAUUGACGUUACCCGCAGAAGAAGCACCGGCUAACUACGUGCCAGCAGCCGCCGUAA